RNAcentral lists this ribosomal RNA (525 nucleotides) under Aureobasidium sp. RNAcentral describes it as "partial large subunit ribosomal RNA". It matches the Rfam family "Eukaryotic large subunit ribosomal RNA", at positions 79 to 612 of the family's 3401-position model. Lineage: Eukaryota; Fungi; Ascomycota; Dothideomycetes; Dothideales; Saccotheciaceae. The record is from RNAcentral.
CCUAGUAACGGCGAGUGAAGCGGCAACAGCUCAAAUUUGAAAGCUGGCCUUCGGGUCCGCAUUGUAAUUUGUAGAGGAUGCUUUGGGUGAAACGCCAGUCUAAGUUCCUUGGAACAGGACGUCAUAGAGGGUGAGAAUCCCGUAUGUGACUGGAAAUGUUAACCUAUGUAAAGCUCCUUCGACGAGUCGAGUUGUUUGGGAAUGCAGCUCUAAAUGGGAGGUAAAUUUCUUCUAAAGCUAAAUAUUGGCGAGAGACCGAUAGCGCACAAGUAGAGUGAUCGAAAGAUGAAAAGCACUUUGGAAAGAGAGUUAAAAAGCACGUGAAAUUGUUGAAAGGGAAGCGCUUGCAAUCAGACUUGUUUAAACUGUUCGGCCGGUCUUCUGACCGGUUUACUCAGUUUGGACAGGCCAGCAUCAGUUUCGGCGGCCGGAUAAAGGCUCUGGGAAUGUGGCCUUCACUUCGGUGAAGGUGUUAUAGCCCAGGGUGUAAUACGGCCAGCCGGGACUGAGGUCCGCGCUCGGCUA